AUAUUGCGCAAUGGGGGAAACCCUGACGCAGCAACGCCGCGUGAAGGAAGAAGGCUUUCGGGUCGUAAACUUUUGUCUUCUGGGAAGAAUAAUGACGGUACCAGAGGAGGAAGCCACGGCUAACUACGUGCCAGCAGCCGCGGUAAUACGUAGGUGGCGAGCGUUGUCCGGAAUUACUGGGUGUAAAGGGCGUGUAGGCGGGACUGCAAGUCAGAUGUGAAAUACCGGGGCUCAACCCCGGGGCUGCAUUUGAAACUGUAGUUCUUGAGUGCAGGAGAGGAAAGCGGAAUUCCUAGUGUAGCGGUGAAAUGCGUAGAUAUUAGGAGGAACACCAGUGGCGAAGGCGGCUUUCUGGACUGUAACUGACGCUGAGGCGCGAAAGCGUGGGGAGCGAACAGG
Molecule: ribosomal RNA, 399 nt
Filed under: uncultured bacterium
Lineage: Bacteria
Description: partial 16S ribosomal RNA
Rfam family: Bacterial small subunit ribosomal RNA
Source: RNAcentral